GCGUUUAGCUCAGCUGGUUUAGAGCAUCUGCCUUACAAGCAGAGGGUCGGCGGUUCGAAUCCGUCAGCG
This 69-nucleotide transfer RNA is filed under the name uncultured Prevotella sp. It matches the Rfam family "tRNA". From Rfam's summary of the family: Transfer RNA (tRNA) molecules are approximately 80 nucleotides in length. The record is from RNAcentral. Lineage: Bacteria; Pseudomonadati; Bacteroidota; Bacteroidia; Bacteroidales; Prevotellaceae.